UCCCUGGUGGCCUAGCGGUUGAGGACUCAGCAUUGUCACUGCUGUGGUGCAGGUUUGAUCCCUGGCCCGGGAA
This 73-nucleotide transfer RNA is filed under the name Sus scrofa (pig). It matches the Rfam family "tRNA". From Rfam's summary of the family: Transfer RNA (tRNA) molecules are approximately 80 nucleotides in length. Their secondary structure includes four short double-helical elements and three loops (D, anti-codon, and T loops). The record is from Rfam by way of RNAcentral. Lineage: Eukaryota; Metazoa; Chordata; Mammalia; Artiodactyla; Suidae.